Molecule: ribosomal RNA, 87 nt
Filed under: Escherichia coli ISC41
Lineage: Bacteria; Pseudomonadati; Pseudomonadota; Gammaproteobacteria; Enterobacterales; Enterobacteriaceae
Source: RNAcentral
UGCCUGGCGGCCUUAGCGCGGUGGUCCCACCUGACCCCAUGCCGAACUCAGAAGUGAAACGCCGUAGCGCCGAUGGUAGUGUGGGGU